Molecule: long non-coding RNA, 346 nt
Filed under: Heterocephalus glaber (naked mole-rat)
Lineage: Eukaryota; Metazoa; Chordata; Mammalia; Rodentia; Bathyergidae
Description: lncRNA (ENSHGLG00100042875.1)
Source: RNAcentral
CUGGUCUCGGCCCGGCUCGGCUCGGCUCGGCGUCGGCUCUCCGCACCGGCGGGUCGGCGCGCUCCGUAAGCUUUGCUCUCGCUCCCCCGUCCGACCGCUCGGGUGCCCUGCAGCCUCGCCCGGCGCCCUACUCCUUCCCAGCGAAGGGCCCUUCCCGGAGCCUGGAAUGCAGCUUAUUCCUCGAACCAAACUGACCUGGGAAGGAAAUCUAUGCAUGUUUAAAUUCAUCUACCAAGUGCCUUAGAAAGUGCAUCAUAUUGAAAAUAAGUGUCCUCUGUUACACACCAAGCAAAAAGACAAUUUAGAGGAAAUGAGGAGGAAAGAGAAGACAGAUAACAAAGAGAAG